This 284-nucleotide ribosomal RNA is filed under the name uncultured bacterium. Its description in RNAcentral is "partial 16S ribosomal RNA". It matches the Rfam family "Bacterial small subunit ribosomal RNA", at positions 773 to 1060 of the family's 1533-position model. The record is from RNAcentral.
GUGGAUUAGAUACCCUGGUAGUCCGCACAGUAAACGAUGAUAACUAGCUGUUUGCGAUAAACAGUAAGUGGCUAAGCGAAAGCGAUAAGUUAUCCACCUGGGGAGUACGACCGCAAGGUUGAAACUCAAAGGAAUUGACGGGGGCCCGCACAAGCGGAGGAACAUGUGGUUUAAUUCGAUGAUACGCGAGGAACCUUACCCGGGCUCGAACGGUACGCGAACGAUCUAGAGAUAGAGAGGUCCUUCGGGACGCGUAUCGAGGUGCUGCACGGCCGUCGACAGCU